This 997-nucleotide ribosomal RNA is filed under the name human gut metagenome. RNAcentral describes it as "bacterial LSU rRNA". It matches the Rfam family "Bacterial large subunit ribosomal RNA", at positions 1934 to 2925 of the family's 2925-position model. The record is from RNAcentral.
CCGUAACUAUAACGGUCCUAAGGUAGCGAAAUUCCUUGUCGGGUAAGUUCCGACCUGCACGAAUGGCGUAAUGAUGGCCAGGCUGUCUCCACCCGAGACUCAGUGAAAUUGAACUCGCUGUGAAGAUGCAGUGUACCCGCGGCAAGACGGAAAGACCCCGUGAACCUUUACUAUAGCUUGACACUGAACACUGGUCCUUGAUGUGUAGGAUAGGUGGGAGGCUUUGAAGCGUGGACGCCAGUCUGCGUGGAGCCGACCUUGAAAUACCACCCUUUAAUGGCUGGUGUUCUAACGUAGACCCGUAAUCCGGGUUGCGGACAGUGUCUGGUGGGUAGUUUGACUGGGGCGGUCUCCUCCCAAAGAGUAACGGAGGAGCACGAAGGUUAGCUAAUCCUGGUCGGACAUCAGGAGGUUAGUGCAAUGGCAUAAGCUAGCUUGACUGCGAGAGUGACGGCUCGAGCAGGUGCGAAAGCAGGUCAUAGUGAUCCGGUGGUUCUGAAUGGAAGGGCCAUCGCUCAACGGAUAAAAGGUACUCCGGGGAUAACAGGCUGAUACCGCCCAAGAGUUCAUAUCGACGGCGGUGUUUGGCACCUCGAUGUCGGCUCAUCACAUCCUGGGGCUGAAGUAGGUCCCAAGGGUAUGGCUGUUCGCCAUUUAAAGUGGUACGCGAGCUGGGUUUAGAACGUCGUGAGACAGUUCGGUCCCUAUCUGCCGUGGGCGCUGGAGAAUUGAGGGGGGCUGCUCCUAGUACGAGAGGACCGGAGUGGACGCAUCACUGGUGUUCGGGUUGUCAUGCCAAUGGCACUGCCCGGUAGCUAAAUGCGGAAGAGAUAAGUGCUGAAAGCAUCUAAGCACGAAACUUGCCCCGAGAUGAGUUCUCCCUGAGACUUUAAGUCUCCUGAAGGAACGUUGAAGACGACGACGUUGAUAGGUCGGGUGUGUAAGCGCAGCGAUGCGUUGAGCUAACCGAUACUAAUGAACCGUGAGGCUUAACCUU